RNAcentral lists this ribosomal RNA (729 nucleotides) under uncultured bacterium. RNAcentral describes it as "bacterial SSU rRNA". It matches the Rfam family "Bacterial small subunit ribosomal RNA", at positions 109 to 876 of the family's 1533-position model. The record is from RNAcentral.
AGUAACGCGUGGGAACGUACCUUUUGGUUCGGAACAACACAGGGAAACUUGUGCUAAUACCGGAUAAGCCCUUACGGGGAAAGAUUUAUCGCCGAAAGAUCGGCCCGCGUCUGAUUAGCUAGUUGGUGUGGUAACGGCGCACCAAGGCGACGAUCAGUAGCUGGUCUGAGAGGAUGAUCAGCCACAUUGGGACUGAGACACGGCCCAAACUCCUACGGGAGGCAGCAGUGGGGAAUAUUGGACAAUGGGCGCAAGCCUGAUCCAGCCAUGCCGGUGAGUGAUGAAGGCCCUAGGGUUGUAAAGCUCUUUUGUGCGGGGAAGAUAUGACGGUACCGCAAGAAAUAAGCCCCGGUUAAAUUCGUGCCAGCAGCCGCGGUAAUACGAAGGGGGCUAGCGUUGCUCGGAAUCACUGGGCGUAAAGGGUGCGUAGGCGGGUCUUUAAGUCAGGGGUGAAAUCCUGGAGCUCAACUCCAGAACUGCCUUUGAUACUGAGGAUCUUGAGUUCGGGAGAGGUGAGUGGAACUGCGAGUGUAGAGGUGAAAUUCGUAGAUAUUCGCAAGAACACCAGUGGCGAAGGCGGUCACUGGCCCGAUACUGACGCUGAGGCACGAAAGCGUGGGGAGCCAAACAGGAUUAGAUACCCUGGUAGUCCACGCCGUAAAACGAUGAAUGGCAGCCGUUAGUGGGUUUACUCACUAGUGGGCAGUAACGCUUUAAGCAUUCGCUGGG